RNAcentral lists this ribosomal RNA (391 nucleotides) under Clostridium perfringens. RNAcentral describes it as "bacterial SSU rRNA". It matches the Rfam family "Bacterial small subunit ribosomal RNA", at positions 384 to 793 of the family's 1533-position model. The record is from RNAcentral. Lineage: Bacteria; Bacillati; Bacillota; Clostridia; Eubacteriales; Clostridiaceae.
UGAUGCAGCAACGCCGCGUGAGCGAUGAAGGCCUUCGGGUCGUAAAGCUCUGUCCUCAAGGAAGAUAAUGACGGUACUUGAGGAGGAAGCCCCGGCUAACUACGUGCCAGCAGCCGCGGUAAUACGUAGGGGGCUAGCGUUAUCCGGAAUUACUGGGCGUAAAGGGUGCGUAGGUGGUUUUUUAAGUCAGAAGUGAAAGGCUACGGCUCAACCGUAGUAAGCUUUUGAAACUAGAGAACUUGAGUGCAGGAGAGGAGAGUAGAAUUCCUAGUGUAGCGGUGAAAUGCGUAGAUAUUAGGAGGAAUACCAGUAGCGAAGGCGGCUCUCUGGACUGUAACUGACACUGAGGCACGAAAGCGUGGGGAGCAAACAGGAUUAGAUACCCCGGUAG